This is a long non-coding RNA of Melanotaenia boesemani (Boeseman's rainbowfish), 750 nucleotides long. RefSeq lists it as uncharacterized. The record is from RefSeq and is a predicted model, not a curated record. The transcript is spliced from 3 exons. Lineage: Eukaryota; Metazoa; Chordata; Actinopteri; Atheriniformes; Melanotaeniidae.
UCAUUUUGACACAAGUCAUUUUGUUUAACCGACGCAGAGCUGGGGAAGUGUCAAAAAUUCCACUUUCUGCAUAUUUAUCUUACAAUAUAUCCGACCUACACCAGGAUGCGAAUGUUGCACUUUUAGUUCUUGAAAAGAAACUUUGUCAGCAUUUCCGAAGAAUGGAAAUAAGAAGUAAAAGGGGAAGAAAAGUACCUGUACUUUUAACUCCAGCAAUGCAACAGGCAUUGGAUCUGCUUGUCAGCAAACAGCAGGAAUGUGGGAUUCUUCCAGACAACACAUACCUAUUUGCAAGACCAGCCAGUCGGAUUUGCUACCGUGGGUCUGAUAGUCUUCGAUACUUUGCCAAGGUAAGUGGUGCAAAAAGCCCCGGAAAUCUUACUUCAACAAAACUGCGAAAACAAACAGGAACCUUGUCCCAGGUCCUUAAACUCACUAACACAGAGUUGGACCAGUUGGCAGAUUUCCUGGGACAUAAGAGUCCACAGACAGUUUUACAGAAUUCCUGAGGGCACACUCCAACUUGCUAAAAUCAGCAAGAUUCAUAUGGCUCUGGAGCAGGGGCGUCUUUCAGAGUUCAAGGGCAAGUCCCUGGAUGACAUUGAUCCAGAAGAGAAGGUGCACCUAGACAGCGACCAGGACAGAGAUCCCGGGGCCCCAUGUGACACUUGAGUCAGACUAUGAGUCAGAUUCACCAGAGCAACCAGUCACAACUGAGAGUGAGACAGCAGGGCCAGAUGUGAACCAGAU